Molecule: non-coding RNA, 673 nt
Organism: Macaca mulatta (Rhesus monkey)
Lineage: Eukaryota; Metazoa; Chordata; Mammalia; Primates; Cercopithecidae
Source: RefSeq, a predicted model, not a curated record
AAGUGACCCAGCUCCUCUCAAUUACUCCAAGUGACCCAGCAGUAGGGGAGCUCAAUUUCCUGGGUCUAGGAUGGUUUUCUGCAACUCUCUGAGGAGUAGAGAACAUUUACUUUUACCCUCCCACCAAUCAUUGUGAGUCUUCAUCAACUCUCUGGUUGAUGGUGCUUGUUGCCUUUCUUCAGAGGCAGAAGGUUUUGUUCCUUAUGGGAGAAGUAACUGGGUGCCGUUUCAUUCUCUCCUACAGCAGCUUCACCAUCUUCCAGGACUCAACAACAAGUGUUCUCCUCUCUUUGAUGCUGCUCCUUCUCAUGGGCACACAGUAGGUUGUUGGAGAAAAACCUACAAUGGACUAUCAACUUUCCUUGGGUCUAUAGCUCGGUGGUGUUCCAUACAAUUGCUUUAUCUGACUCUCAGUCCUUAAGCAAUUGGAUACAAUUUUUAGCUGAAUUAUUUCUACCCACAUAUAUUGAGACCUUCUUCCAUAGAGUUACUUUGCGGAAGACUCAUCAUCUUCAGUUGAAAUACCAUACUCAAAGAAGACUUCCCACAAGAUCAUGAACAAACAUCUAAAAAAGAAUGGCAACACUCAGACCAUGCGUUUCAAGGUCCACGCCAGCACAGAUUAAUGAAUGCUAGAAUUAUAUAAUAAAAGAGAGAGACAGAUCCUCAAAGA